Long non-coding RNA from Dalotia coriaria, 1157 nucleotides. RefSeq lists it as uncharacterized. The record is from RefSeq and is a predicted model, not a curated record. The transcript has 5 exons. Lineage: Eukaryota; Metazoa; Arthropoda; Insecta; Coleoptera; Staphylinidae.
GAAAUCAAUGUUGAUCGGUUGAUAAACAAGAUCUGUGCACGUCUAGAUCAAAUCUGUGAAUCCCUUGUGGCUGGCGUGCGACCAGAAGUAGUAUUGGUGACCAAUUUAGAACAUUGCAUUUGGGUGCUGUUGUGUUGUGUCUGGUUCCGUCAGUUUAUUCACUGCAUGCGCUCCAAUAUCGUAAUUCACUUCGCUGAUUAAACUUCCAGCUCAACAUUACGCCAUUAGUGCCGGCACCGGAGGUGACGUUACAGAAUCAAUUCACAAUGGAAUCAAGUUAGGACUAACCAUGAAGACAACAUAUGCAAGAUCUUCCCUAGUUAAACUUGGUUUGUAUCCAAAACCAAAAUCUCUCAAAUUAAUAAUCCAGGGACAAGGAAAAGUUGGAAAAUCGGCUAUGGUGGUGAGAGUCAUUACAUAUCGUUACAUUAGCGAAUACGAUCCAACAUUAGAGAAAAUCUACACUUUUCAUUCUGUGAUUGACAACGAAGUGAUUUUCUUUGACAUUUUGGACAGUGUUGGCUAGUUAGAUAAAACUGAAUCGUACUCAUUGGAAGCACACAUCAGAUGGGCAGAAGCUUUCAUUUUUAUAUAUUCAGUCACAGAAAUAUAAUAUAAAUAUAAAAAAAAUUACAUAGUGAGCAAUUGUCCGUGUGCACAGUUAUGACUGUGGGCAGUUGUCUGUGAGCAGUUGUCGUGUGAGCGAUCGUCUUGGGGGCAAAAGUCCGGUCACGGAAGUUGCUCGGUUAAUGUGUUUGUUUGAAUAAGACUUACUUCCCCACUCAACAUGCAGCGACCAAAACGAUUAAAUCUUAUCCGACAAAACCGUAAUGCAACUAGGAUUAGAAGGAUUACGAAUGAAAGGACUGAAGAAGAACAAGAAACUGCACGUGAAAAGCAAGGCGGAACAAAGUUUGCCGGGUCAGCUAGUCUACAAUAAAACAAGAAAACGUUUAGGCGGCGGAAGUGCAUCCACAAAAUACAGUUGCCUAGAUGUUUCUGUUGUCCUAGUCGGGAAUAAAAUAGCUCAAGUUGAAGAUAGAAUGAUUUCUUCGGAAAUGGGACAAAAACAAAGUAAAGAGAUUGAAUGUUUUUGUUUUCAUGGUUAGGGAAAGUAUUGAACUUCACAACAUAUGCAACUUCAUAUACACAAAACA